RNAcentral lists this long non-coding RNA (391 nucleotides) under Homo sapiens (human). RNAcentral describes it as "non-protein coding lnc-VEZT-4:1". The record is from RNAcentral. Lineage: Eukaryota; Metazoa; Chordata; Mammalia; Primates; Hominidae.
CUGUGUCAGCUUCUUCUGCAGGACUUGGACAUAUUUCUCAACCUUUCUGUGGCUCAGUUUCCUUGCCUUAAAAGUGAUGAUAACAAUAGCACCUACCUCAUAGGGCUGUUGUGAGAGCUAAAUGAGUUAAUACGUGUAAAACACUUCAGAGCCAGGCACCUUGUAAGUUCUAUAAAAAUGUUGGCUUUCAUGAUUAAGUCCUCACAAUCCCAUCUAUAGGUAUUAUGAGUCCCAUUUCAUAGACGAGAAAACAGAGGCUGAGAGAGGUUAGUUAAUAAACUACCUGCAGCCUAAUCUCAAGCUAAAGAUUUUGAGAUGGGGAAAUUAUCCUGGACUACCUGAAUGGGCCCAGUGUAAUCACAAGGGUCCUUCUGAAAAGGGAGAUAGGAGA